This 30-nucleotide non-coding RNA is filed under the name Mus musculus (house mouse). The record is from RNAcentral. Lineage: Eukaryota; Metazoa; Chordata; Mammalia; Rodentia; Muridae.
UCAACCGUAAGUCUACAAGUUCUCAUUUCU